Molecule: ribosomal RNA, 154 nt
Filed under: Parastagonospora nodorum SN15
Lineage: Eukaryota; Fungi; Ascomycota; Dothideomycetes; Pleosporales; Phaeosphaeriaceae
Description: Phaeosphaeria nodorum SN15 5.8S ribosomal RNA
Rfam family: 5.8S ribosomal RNA
About the family: 5.8S ribosomal RNA (5.8S rRNA) is a component of the large subunit of the eukaryotic ribosome. It is transcribed by RNA polymerase I as part of the 45S precursor that also contains 18S and 28S rRNA. Functionally, it is thought that 5.8S rRNA may be involved in ribosome translocation.
Source: Rfam by way of RNAcentral
AACUUUCAACAACGGAUCUCUUGGUUCUGGCAUCGAUGAAGAACGCAGCGAAAUGCGAUAAGUAGUGUGAAUUGCAGAAUUCAGUGAAUCAUCGAAUAUUUGAACGCACAUUGCGCCCCUUGGUAUUCCAUGGGGCAUGCCUGUUCGAGCGUCA